Molecule: non-coding RNA, 75 nt
Organism: Xyrichtys novacula (pearly razorfish)
Lineage: Eukaryota; Metazoa; Chordata; Actinopteri; Labriformes; Labridae
Source: the annotation of a GenBank genome assembly
CAGAUUUAAUGAUGAUCCUCAAAUCACCAUCUUUCGGCUGAAGAAGAGAUGACACUUUUUGAUCUGAAACUGCAG